This 73-nucleotide transfer RNA is filed under the name Salmo salar (Atlantic salmon). It matches the Rfam family "tRNA". Rfam says of the family: Transfer RNA (tRNA) molecules are approximately 80 nucleotides in length. Their secondary structure includes four short double-helical elements and three loops (D, anti-codon, and T loops). Lineage: Eukaryota; Metazoa; Chordata; Actinopteri; Salmoniformes; Salmonidae. The record is from Rfam by way of RNAcentral.
UCCCGUGUGGCUCAGUUGGUAGAGCAUGGUGUUUGCAACGCCAGGGUUGUGGGUUCGAUUCCCAACUGGGGAC